GCUCACAUAGCUCAGUCGGCAGAGCGUCACCUUGGUAAGGUGGAGGUCGUCGGUUCGAUUCCGAUUGUGAGCUCCA
Molecule: transfer RNA, 76 nt
Filed under: Clostridium beijerinckii
Lineage: Bacteria; Bacillati; Bacillota; Clostridia; Eubacteriales; Clostridiaceae
Also listed under: 6 other names
Description: tRNA-Thr (GGT) (tRNA-Thr-GGT-1-1)
Rfam family: tRNA
About the family: Transfer RNA (tRNA) molecules are approximately 80 nucleotides in length.
Source: RNAcentral